Brassica napus (rape) is the source of this 3787-nucleotide long non-coding RNA. RefSeq lists it as uncharacterized. NCBI's taxonomy places the organism in Eukaryota, Viridiplantae, Streptophyta, Magnoliopsida, Brassicales, Brassicaceae. The transcript is spliced from 2 exons. The record is from RefSeq and is a predicted model, not a curated record.
AGUGAUUAUUUAAGUGGAAACUGGGCUGGAUAACCUUCAGACAAAUUAUAAUUUACUCAAUAUCUAAAAGCUCUCAUUUAUUUAUAUACCCUGUACAUAAUAUACAUUAUUACCAUAUUAUCUCCAUAUUCAACUAGUAAAAUCUACUACAAAAAAAAAUUAAAUAAAUAAUUAAUUAAUGUAACAAGUAAAAUAUGUGGUCACGUUGUAUUCACUCUCACCUCUCAAGAUAAUUAGAUAGCUUUCAUGAAAAUGAAGAUGAAGAUGAACGUGGUCUUUUAUUAUGCACACAUCUUCUUGAACUGAAUUUCUUCUCAUGAGAAGAACAAAGAACAACGAUGAAUGCGUAUAUGGUGAGCAAACAUAACAACUCUUUCAUUUCUUUUUCUUUUUCUCUUUCUCUUAAAUCAUUGAUUCUCACAUCAUGCUUUUGUUUUCAUACUUUGUUUUCGUUUCUCUUUUUGUUUUAGUGAUCCAAUGAUGAAGAAUAACGACGGCGGACCGGUAAAAGCGUCGCCGUGUCGGAAAAAAGGAGAAGAGAUGAAGAUGAUCUAUAUAUGGCAGUGAAGAAUAACGACGGUGAACGAGGUGAAGGUGUAUCAUCAUGUUUGACAAAAGAAGAAUUGAAGAAGAUGAACUUAUCGUCUAUACUAUAUUCGGGAAAGGAAUAGUAUAGUAUAUAUUCUUUAGUGUAGUUAUUUAUGUAAAGUUACUAUAUUCUUUGGGAUAUAUAUCUAAACAAUCCCUUAAAAAUGUAAUCAUCUUCAUAUUUACAAAUUUGAUAGUUUUCUUCUAUGUCAUUUUGUGUAAUUGAUUGUAAUAUGAAAUUCAUACUAUAUUGGUUUAAGUGUAAUGAUUAAAACCAAUUUUGGAUAGAUGACAAAUAAACUUUAUAUUAGUGUACUAUACUACAUUUCUCAACUAUAAAUAAUAUUUAUAUAGUAUAAAUUAAUAUUACAUAAUAUUAUGUAUUAUUUUAGAUUUUGAUAUUUGGAUUUAGAGUUUAUAUUUGAGUUUAGGGUUUAGUAAUUAGUGAUUAGGGUUAAGUAUUUAGAGUAAUAGGAGUGAGUUUGAGGCCAGUAUUAGAUUUUGAAAUUUGGGUUUAGAGUUUAGGGUUUAUGGUUUAUAUUUGGGUUUAGGGUUUAGUGAUUAGGAUUUAGGGUUUAGUAUUUAGAAGGGCAGAGUUGGUAUUUGGGUUUAGUGAACAUGUAUCGUUUCAUUUUACAAUUAAUAAAGAGUGUUCUAUUUUGUUCACCAAUAUAUACUAUACUAUUUAUUUUAUUUCAUUCUAUUUGGGUUUAGGGGCUAUAUUUGGGUUUAGGGUUUAGUGAUUAGAGUUUAAAGUUUAGUAUUUGGAAGGUGCGUGGUUAAGGCUUGGGUUUAGUGAUAGCAGUUUAAGAUUUAAUAUUCAAAAUGUGCCUUCAAGUGUCCAAUAUUGAAAUUUUUUUUAUAGAUUGUAUUUGGGUUUAUAGGUUCUUGCCUAGGGUUUAGAUUUACUAAGUAGAGGUUUGAGUAUAGUAAACCAUAUUAUAUAUAUACUAUUUGGGUUUAUCCUUCCUUAAUUAGGGUUUAGAUUUAAUAGUUAAUGGUGUGUCUUGUAUUGCUGUAUUUUUCGGGUGAAGAGAAUUUACUAUUUGCAUUUCAUACUUUGAAUACACCAUUGAAUUUUUUUGAUUAUUUUAAAUAUUCGUGUACUAUACUACUUAGACUAUAUGAAAUAGAAGAAAUGUAACAUGCUAACCAAGUAAAUGUGCCUUCAAGUGUCCAAUAUUGGAAAAUAAUUUAUAGAUUGUAUUUGGGUUUAUAGGUUCAUGCAUAUGGUUUAAAUUUAGUAAGUAGAGGUUUGGGUUUAGUAAAUCAUAUUAUAUUUUUUGUUACAUUCUAUCUGGGUUUAGGGUCACUUGGGUUUAGGGUCUAUACUUGGGUUUAGGGUUUAGUGAUUAGGAUUUAGGGUUUAGUGAUUAGCAUUUAGGGUUUAGUAUUUGGAAGGUGGGGAUUGAGGUUUGAGUUUAGUGAUAACAGUUUAGGGUUUAGUAUUAAAAAGUUAGGUAUGGGUUUAACAUUUAAGAGUUGUGUGUUGAGUUAGAGUCAUAUAUUAUUUCUCAUAUGAAAUAAAACCAUCCUUUUAUUUUUCAUUAUGCACUAAAUUCAUUUGAGUUUUUACACGAUUAAUUCAUUUAUUUAUUUCAUGGAACCACAUCACUAAUCUAAUUUAAAAUUUUAUGCGGUAAUAAACAUAAAUUAUGUGGAUGUCUUCCAUAUCUCUCAUUCUGAACAGUUAGCUAUUAAAGUGUCCACACCUUGAAACAUAUGACGUUAUCUUUUUUUUUUUCACCGGUCACUUAUAAUUAAAUAGGUAUAACCGGAUAAAUUAUAGCAUAAAUGAUAGUUUCUUUAUUAUGUCAACAUCAAUUCCAUCCGCUUAAUUUUUAUUAUGAAUUUGGUUAUUGGGCAAAUAAGUACUUAUUUUAUAGCCCACUGAUAGAAUUACGUGUACAGCAAGACACUACAAAUUUUGUACUUGUACAAUAAAUUUGGACAGGAAGCAUUAAAAUACAUGACUUGUCUAAUCUAAGGCAAUUAUAGUUUUGGUAGUCAGACAAUAUGCCGGGUACAUUAUGAUACCUUCCAGUUUUCGAAAAUCUGGUGGGUGAAGAGGCUUCAAGUUUCUCUUUAACUGUAAAUAGUUAAAUACUUAUUGAGUAGAGAGUUUUAACUUAAGUCCUUGACGUUGCUGGUUGAAAAUCUAAUCAAAUUGCUGACUUUUCUAGUCUUUUAGCUUCCCCAUGGUGGAUAAGUUAAACGGAUAAAGACAAACGAUUUUGGAGAUAGUAUGGUAUAGGUUUGCCAACAAGUCCUUCUCAUAUAACCGUGAAGAUUUCCCAGAAGAACAGGCUUUUAUGUAAUAUCAACAAAGGUUUGGAAAUGGUAACUAAAACGAAGGGCAGAGGUUAUUUUAUAGCUGCUGAUCCGGUAAAUGACCAAUACAAUUCAUUUGUUAUGGCUUUUCUACUUUCUUAUGCAUAUUAAAGGAAAAGAAAAACACUUAAUUAAAAGCAACAUUGUACCAAUGCUUAGGCAACAUUGUUCUAUCUGGAGGAGACGACUUCCAGAGUCAACUAAAAAGCCAUUUUAUUAGAAAAUGCUCUUGAUUCUCUGUAUUUGUACCAAUGCUUAGGCAACAUUGUUCUAUCUGUGGCUUGUGAGAACAAAGAAGUUACCAGUGACUUCCCGGAGUGGUAAUCCAACAAUGCGAGCUUCGACAGUUCUACUCUGUAGUGUUGUUCUAAUUCAGCUGUUUGCGGCUCAAAGUGAUGCUUAAAGAUCAAGAAGUCCAUGGCAGACACUCAAUGGUGAUGCUCCUCUAGUGAUUGCUCGUGGUGGGUUUUCUGGAUUGUUUCCAGAUUCAAGUAUUGAUGCUUACAGCUUCGCAAUGCCAGACAAGUGUAGCCGGUGCUGUUCUAUGGUGUGAUGUUCAGCUAACCAAAGAUGGACGUGGGGUUUGCUUCCCUGAUUUAAAAUUGAACAAUGCUUCAAAUAUUGGAGAUCUUUUCCCAAAUCGCCAAAAAAUCUUACCCGGUUAAUGGAGUCACUACUCAGGGUUGGUUCACCCUUGAUUUCUCCUUGAGAGAUCUCAAUAAUGUUUCUUGUAAGUAUUUAUUACUCAACUACCUUUUCUGUAAGAACAUAAUUUGUACUUUUCAAAAAAAAAAAAAUAAAUAAAUAAAAAAACAAAAAAUAAUAAUAAAAAAAUAAUAAUAAUAAUUUGUACUUUUCUUGUUACUAC